This 311-nucleotide unclassified non-coding RNA is filed under the name Ascomycota sp. RNAcentral describes it as "partial contains small subunit ribosomal RNA, internal transcribed spacer 1, and 5.8S ribosomal RNA". The stretch from base 1 to 47 matches the Rfam family "Eukaryotic small subunit ribosomal RNA", at positions 1785 to 1831 of the family's 1831-position model. The record is from RNAcentral. Lineage: Eukaryota; Fungi; Ascomycota.
AAAGUCGUAACAAGGUUUCCGUAGGUGAACCUGCGGAAGGAUCAUUAAAAAGAUUGGCGAGUAGUUACUCUACUUACCUUCUGAUAUCACCUCUUGUAUCUGUAGGUUUCUGCCUGCAGGUAUUCAAUGUGUUCAACCCUUUGUGAACUUUCCAUACUUUGCUUCGGCAGCACCUUGCUGGGAGACCUGCUUGGGUAAGGCUGUCAGAGGCCCAUAUAAAAACCAGUUUUUAAAAACCUGCAGUCUGAAUACUAUUGAUUUUAGAAAUCAAAAUCGCAUUAAAACUUUCAGCAACGGAUCUCUUGGUUCUC